GAGGAGCUUGCUUCUCUGGAUGAGUUGCGAACGGGUGAGUAACGCGUAGGUAACCUGCCUGGUAGCGGGGGAUAACUAUUGGAAACGAUAGCUAAUACCGCAUAAGAGUGGAUGUUGCAUGACAUUUGCUUAAAAGGUGCACUUGCAUCACUACCAGAUGGACCUGCGUUGUAUUAGCUAGUUGGUGGGGUAACGGCUCACCAAGGCGACGAUACAUAGCCGACCUGAGAGGGUGAUCGGCCACACUGGGACUGAGACACGGCCCAGACUCCUACGGGAGGCAGCAGUAGGGAAUCUUCGGCAAUGGACGGAAGUCUGACCGAGCAACGCCGCGUGAGUGAAGAAGGUUUUCGGAUCGUAAAGCUCUGUUGUAAGAGAAGAAUGAGUGUGAGAGUGGAAAGUUCACACUGUGACGGUAUCUUACCAGAAAGGGACGGCUAACUCUGUGCCAGCAGCCGCGGUAAUACAGAGGGUGCAAGCGUUAAUCGGAAUUACUGGGCGUAAAGCGCGCGUAGGUGGUUAUUUAAGUCAGAUGUGAAAG
Molecule: ribosomal RNA, 541 nt
Filed under: uncultured Streptococcus sp.
Lineage: Bacteria; Bacillati; Bacillota; Bacilli; Lactobacillales; Streptococcaceae
Description: bacterial SSU rRNA
Rfam family: Bacterial small subunit ribosomal RNA
Source: RNAcentral